UACGUAGGGUCCGAGCGUUGUCCGGAAUUAUUGGGCGUAAAGAGCUCGUAGGCGGUUUGUCGCGUCUGCUGUGAAAUCCCGAGGCUCAACCCCGGACUUGCAGUGGGUACGGGCAGACUAGAGUGUGGUAGGGGAGACUGGAAUUCCUGGUGUAGCGGUGAAAUGCGCAGAUAUCAGGAGGAACACCGAUGGCGAAGGCAGGUCUCUGGGCCACUACUGACGCUGAGAAGCGAAAGCAUGGGGAGCGAACAGG
RNAcentral lists this ribosomal RNA (253 nucleotides) under uncultured bacterium. Its description in RNAcentral is "partial 16S ribosomal RNA". It matches the Rfam family "Bacterial small subunit ribosomal RNA", at positions 524 to 776 of the family's 1533-position model. The record is from RNAcentral.